AUUUGAUCUAAAUCAGGCGGGA
RNAcentral lists this ribosomal RNA (22 nucleotides) under Mucor circinelloides. RNAcentral describes it as "partial 28S ribosomal RNA". The record is from RNAcentral. Lineage: Eukaryota; Fungi; Mucoromycota; Mucoromycetes; Mucorales; Mucoraceae.